RNAcentral lists this ribosomal RNA (253 nucleotides) under uncultured bacterium. Its description in RNAcentral is "partial 16S ribosomal RNA". It matches the Rfam family "Bacterial small subunit ribosomal RNA", at positions 524 to 776 of the family's 1533-position model. The record is from RNAcentral.
UACGUAGGGUCCGAGCGUUGUCCGGAAUUAUUGGGCGUAAAGAGCUCGUAGGCGGUCUGUCGCGUCGGCUGUGAAAACUCAGGGCUCAACCCUGAGCCUGCAGUCGAUACGGGCAGACUAGAGUUCGGUAGGGGAGACUGGAAUUCCUGGUGUAGCGGUGAAAUGCGCAGAUAUCAGGAGGAACACCGGUGGCGAAGGCGGCGAUCUGGGCCGACACUGACGCUGUAGAGCGAAAGCGUGGGGAGCGAACAGG